RNAcentral lists this long non-coding RNA (4204 nucleotides) under Nicotiana tabacum (common tobacco). RNAcentral's name for it is "long non-coding RNA (NTAB_LNC007566)". The record is from RNAcentral. Lineage: Eukaryota; Viridiplantae; Streptophyta; Magnoliopsida; Solanales; Solanaceae.
UAACCCUAUCUUUUCUUGAAACCAAACAGUCGCACCCUUCCUCUUACGCCUCUGCCCACCAAACUAGCCGGAAUCGGGCGAGUCCACUCACCUGAGUUCCAUGGUCCCUCCCCCCCUCUCUCAUCUUAUCCUUCCUCCACGUAGCAAUGAUAACAAACUCAGAAUAUUCUCUAAUGAUUUCACCCAAAUCGAAUCCGCCAUCCCUCUCACGCGCUUUAGCUUUCUUGAACAAAUCUCGGAUAAAUGGGAGCGGUUGGAUGUGAGUGAAAGCCCAUCCACGCCUUCCAUUUUUCCGAUUUUUUGUUUUAUGAAAAUUUUUCGGGAGUUUUCAGCUUUUUGAAGUUAUUUUGGGAGAUAAUUUUCGAAUUUCUUGGAGAAGAAGCAAGAAGAAGCUUCUAGGAUCCUAUAUAUUUGGGAUUUUCAGACAGAAAAUGGUGAUGGGGGAGAAAAUUAGGGUUCUAAGAGUGAGUUUCUUCUUCUCAUUUGGUCCAUUCCCAGUUAAGUUUAAGUUCCAGAAAAGCAAAAAUACAAAAAAAAAACUAGAAAAGCAAAAAUACAAAAGAUUUUGGGUUCUUCUUUUACACAUUUUGGUUCAAGAACGAAAUGGAUGUUAGUUGAGGUUUGAAGCCGAUUUGGGUUGCUGUCCGUUGUUCGAAACUCGUGGUUCCUGUUUGACUUAGCUGUCGUAUUCUCGAGUGGCCUUUUGAAUUUGAAGCUUUGUAGCUGAUUGCUUUGAUUCUCUGUUAUUAAGAAGAAAUUUGCACUCAGGUUCAUAUCCUAUCUCUUCUUUUAUCUAAAGUAUGACUGAGACUAUGAUGAGACUUUAGGAUUAAAACAAACUUAAGCGUCUAGAAUCUGCCUAUGUUUUCAAGAUGUUGAAUGUGUUCUACUUCAGUUCUUUUGAAUCUGCCUUGCUCGUCAUGUUGAGAUUAAGCGUGCGUUGCAUCUCGGAAACCUUGUUGUGAUAUUUUCUGCUUGAUCUCAAUCAUAUUCAUUUGGUUUAAGAUACUGGCGCUGCCAUCUUCUUUGCUCUUUCAGUCUUGCUUAAAUUGUCCUUGGUUUGAAGAUAAUAGCGAUAUUUGAGUAGUAUAGAGUGAUCCUAUUUUCGGCAGAAUCGAGUAUGUGUGGUUUUAAUGUCACUUUGAUUCAUUGGUUUGCAUUUGUUCCUUGAAGUUUGACAUAAAAGCGCAUUGAAAGUUUUCACCAUUUUGCCUCAAAGUUAAUUUGUCAUUUUCGGAUAUCCUAGUUCAGUAGAGGUAAUGUGAAGCUAGUUUUGGAUUACCACUGGAGUUGAAUUUUCUUUGCCCUUUUAAUUCUUAAAUGUAGGAAUCUAGUCCUUGAUUGAAUGAAUCCAGUAUAUUUCUACAACAACAACAACCCAGUAUAAUCCCACUUAAUGGGGUUUGGGGAGGGUAGUGUGUACGCAGACCUUACCCCUACCCUGAGGUAGAGAGGCUGUUUCCAAAUAGAAACCCGAUAUCCUUCCCUCCAAGAACUUCCCACCUUGCUCUUGGGGAGACUCGAACUCACAACCUUUUGGUUGGAAGCGGAGGUUGCUUACCAUCAGAGCAACUCCUCUUCUCUUGUCUAUUCAGUAUAUUUCUAAAAAAAUGCAAAUAAAGUGCUACAGGAUGUUAGCUUAGCAGAAUAAGAAUUCUUGUGCCAUGAGGAUUAUGUGCUUCCUCUUGUUCUGUUGGCAUUCUUCCCUCCCAUUAAUUUGGUUACUAAUGUUAUUACAUUUUCUUAGUGUACUUGCGUGGCGCCUUUUAAGAUAGUAUAGGAACAAGUGAUUAACUUAGAUGACAAAGUAAAUUCAGGCUUGAUAAGUGAGGUUUAAAGGAUUUGAGAUUAUCAAAUGGGGUUGGUAAGACAUCUGACAAUUGGUUUUUCCCAAAUUCACUUUGUUUUCUCACUUGCGUUUCAGAUUAUUGAUAUAUAGUUUUGGUUAGUUGCUUAUUCAUAUUCUUUGAAUGCUUUAAGCUCUUGUUGGUGGAAUGUCUAUUUCUAGUCUUUGUUUGUGUGCACAAUUUAUGUGAUUCCUUAUGUGGACGAUUCGAAUGAAUUAUUGUAUAGAGUCAUGGGAGUUGGGAAAAAGACUUGGCCCAUUAAUGUUAAUUUGCUUACAUAAUUAGGAAUUGGGCUUGGUCAAAUGCAUGAAAUAAGAAGUUAAAAGAAAAGUGAGCAUGAAAUGAGUUUUAUUUAAUUUUAUUUCUAUCUUUUAAUCGCUAGGAGCAUGCUUAGGCCGACCACAUUUGGGUAGGCAAGCUUUAGGACUCCUGUUAAUUUUGAGGCGAGAGGUCGUUCCCUUAGUUAAAUUUAUCCGGGGAAUGGCCCAAAGUAUUUGUAUAUAUUUAUUCCGGGGUAUGCCCCGAAGUAUUUGUAUUUGGAGGUCGAUAGUAGAACUCGUAGUAUUUUUAUUUUUAUUUUUCAUUUUUUCUUUUACUAGGUGGGGACGACUUUGAGCUUCGCAUGUGUUUAUUUUGCUUUUCCGUGUUUAUUUUUACCUCAAUUUGAAUUCUAAAAGCUAGCUAGAUCAAGUACGCAAUCGUGACAUUUACGGGACUUGGGGAGUGUCUAACACUUUCUCCCCGAGUCAAAUGAACCCCUUUACCUAAAUUUCUGGUGCGGACUUGGUUUUAGAGUCUAAAUGUUUAAAAUGGAAAAAUUAUUUUUUUUUAAAAAAACGGUGACCUAGCACACCGAAAUCAAAGUGAGUUGACGACUCUGAGUUAUUUCCUUUUGAACACAAUUUUGUCACCUUUUAAUUAAAAAUCCUUUUGAGCUUCAAAAAUUCUUUUAUUAUUUUUAAGAGGGUUAGUGAGAUUUGAAAAAAAAUGGGGUGUGACAUCAUCUAAAUCUUCAGCUCCAUCUAUUUGUUAGUCGCUAAAGAAUAUCAUAAUAUUGUGCUUCUAUUAAUACUGAUUUCUUCAAAACCAAUCCCAUGUGAGAUAAUAAUUGACCUCAAUUUGUAUUAUGAUAAGUGUCUUUCUGAUUUAGCUUUGAAUUUUUUUAUUUUUUUAUUUUGUGUGUGUGUGGAGGUGGGGGGGGGGGGCAAAUUUACCUUUUCUAUUUGACUAAAUUAUAUUUUUUAAGUUUGAAUUUUUAUGUUGUUACUAUAACAAAAUGCAUUUUUUUUACUGUUGUUUUUCUUGUUCUUCUGUUAAUUUUGUUGAACUUUUCUUUUUACUAAUAAGCUAAACAUGUUCGUUAUUGCACCAAACAUCAACUUCAUACCACUUCAACACACAGCUAGCAUAUAUUUUCAAGAUAAUAGUCAACAUACAUAGUUUUUUUCUUUAAAUUUUUAUUUUUUUUAAAUAUAGGCAUAAGAGGCAAAAAAAAUUUAGCUUUGAUUUUAGUUAUAACUUUUUCAUUUUUUAUAAUAUAUUUGUCACCAUCAUUUCUCUUUUAACUUCGUAUAACCAUCAUCAACCCUUUUCAAUCCUGAAACUUCUCUCAAUUUAUCCAAUUUGCAUGUAAUUUUAUGUUUCAAUUUAAUUUUUUUCUAUGUCCAUUGACUUAAUUUCUUUUCAUAACGACAAAAAAAUAAAGAAUACUUUUGUCUUUGUUUCAAUUUUAGUAAUAAUUAUAAAACGUAUUAGCUCCAAGAUCACGCCCAAUAAUGCCUUAUAAAAAGAAUUAAGGGUCAUUGCAAAUAUAAUUCGAUUUACAAGUCCGAAGUCGAAUCCCACAAAGAACUAAGGCUUAGCUACAGUUGUUCAAUAUCGCUAAGAAACACAAGUUCAAACAAUUUUCUAAUUAUAAAGAUUGCGGUUCUUAUUUUUAAACUAAUUAAUUAGAAAGCAGUAAAAUUAUUAAUUAAGGAGACUAAGACUUGUAGACAAGAUUAAGGAGGUCUAGAGUUAUGAUUUCCCCAAUUGCCGGAAUUUUUCCCGCUAAGUCUUCUAUAAUUUCGCAUAUGUAUUCUUUACCGAUCGUGGGUACUUUGGGUGUUGUAGCUCUCUCUCGAGCAACUACCACAAUUUAUGCUACAAACCCAAAUAACACCAAAGUAUAUUGUAUUGAUAAAUUGGCAGUAAUAGGAACAACUCAGCUAAAGGAAAUUACAAAGAACUCAAACACCACAAGAAUGGGGAUGAGAAGACACAGAGAGAAGGAAGAUGAGAGGCACAGAACUUUCACAUAAUACAAGCCUACUGUAAUUCUUAUUCUACUAGGUAUUUAUAGGGAAUGCUAAAUCCUA